Molecule: small RNA, 142 nt
Filed under: Aquamicrobium sp. LC103
Lineage: Bacteria; Pseudomonadati; Pseudomonadota; Alphaproteobacteria; Hyphomicrobiales; Phyllobacteriaceae
Description: Mesorhizobium sp. LC103 Alphaproteobacterial sRNA BjrC1505
Rfam family: Alphaproteobacterial sRNA BjrC1505
Source: Rfam by way of RNAcentral
GGCAGCGUUAACGCUUCAUUAAGCUUUAUGGGUGUUUACUGUGUUCAUCCAGUGAUCUGGAUUCUUACCGAGUGGCUGGGCCACUCCGUUUGACGCCUCCCUGUUUAACUCCUGAGAGCCGCUUUCCAGUGGCUCUUUUUUU